AGUCAUAUGCUUGUCUCAAAGAUUAAGCCAUGCAUGUCUCAGUACAAGCCAAAUUAAGGUGAAACCGCGAAAGGCUCAUUAAAUCAGUUAUGGUUCCUUAGAUCGUACCCACAUUUACUUGGAUAACUGUGGUAAUUCUAGAGCUAAUACAUGCAAACAGAGCUCCAACCGGAGACGGAAGGAGUGCUUUUAUUAGAUCAAAACCAAUCGGCGGCAGUGGCGUUUCGGCGUUGCUGUUCGUCGCACUAUUUGGUGACUCUGAAUAACUUUUAGCUGAUCGCACGGUCUCGCACCGGCGACGCAUCUUUCAAAUGUCUGCCUUAUCAACUGUCGAUGGUAGGUUCUGCGCCUACCAUGGUUGUAACGGGUAACGGGGAAUCAGGGUUCGAUUCCGGAGAGGGAGCCUGAGAAACGGCUACCACAUCCAAGGAAGGCAGCAGGCGCGCAAAUUACCCACUCCCGGCACGGGGAGGUAGUGACGAAAAAUAACGAUACGGGACUCAUCCGAGGCCCCGUAAUCGGAAUGAGAACACUUUAAAUCCUUUAACGAGGACCAAUUGGAGGGCAAGUCUGGUGCCAGCAGCCGCGGUAAUUCCAGCUCCAAUAGCGUAU
RNAcentral lists this ribosomal RNA (612 nucleotides) under Serranillus dunavani. RNAcentral's name for it is "SSU rRNA". It matches the Rfam family "Eukaryotic small subunit ribosomal RNA", at positions 22 to 602 of the family's 1831-position model. The record is from RNAcentral. RNAcentral also lists the same sequence under 4 other names. Lineage: Eukaryota; Metazoa; Arthropoda; Insecta; Coleoptera; Carabidae.